UUGAAAACGCGAUGAGAGAACCAAAAGCAAUUCCAAUCGAGUUGAAGUUUUGAGCAGCAGCAUUCACCCAUACCUAUCAGUGAUAAAAACGGUCUAUGGGAGUCGUGAGAAUACGGUUUUGUAAUUCUUCGAACAAUCUUUGUUUACUACCAAAUGGAACGAGAAUUCUUUGGUGUGGACGUUUGUGUGCGAUUUGUUAUGUCGAAGACUCGCACCCGGAAACGAGGUCGACUUUCGAAAAGUUUGAUUAAUAUUUUUACCGCAUCGUUGCGAGGCCCAUUCCGCACUAAAUUAAUUUAUUUGUUGUGUAAAGUAAUUUAACGGUCCGCAAGCUGCAGCCAUUGAAAUCUAUGUAUUAUUAAUUGUUUCGCUCGUUUUGAAAUUUAAGUCAGAAUAAAACGAUUUUAUUAUUUUUAUCAACAAAAUACUCGUCAAUAAUAAACGAAACACAGUUGUUGUUUA
Ciona intestinalis (vase tunicate) is the source of this 462-nucleotide non-coding RNA. NCBI's taxonomy places the organism in Eukaryota, Metazoa, Chordata, Ascidiacea, Phlebobranchia, Cionidae. The record is from RefSeq and is a predicted model, not a curated record.